UAGACCCGAGUAAGAUCCUCCCCUCCUUUUUUUUUUUUUGUUUUUUCCUUGUUGAUCCUGUCUUCUUUCCGUGGACUUCCCCAAAUUUGCGUUCCCGCUUAAUCCCUCAAAUAUUCGACAACGUUUUUUGCUCUCCCGCUUAAUUAGGUCGCGCCUCCCAUCUCUCACACCUCUCGUUUUCUGCCUUCCACUCCAUUCUAGGGUUUGAAGUUGGAGCAUAUCUCACGUCAACCUCCGAAGACCUCUGUUCAUCUUCUUCGUAUUUCACGUUCUGGUCGGCGUUCUCUUUUGCGUCCACCGGUGCCGCCAACGACACAACCUUCCGCAACUGUCGUCGUUCUUCAGCUCUGCCCCUCCGCCACUGCCGAUUGAAUCGCUCCCAUUAGGCCGUUAUCGAUUAACCAUAAAUACCAUAGCAAGCUUCAAUCGGUCUGUUCAAUCGAAGCUUCAAUCGCUCCUGUCAUCGUUUUGUUCGACCAGUAGGCUCAGUCGAAGGUUCAGACCUGCUCAAUCAACGACUAACUUUGCUUAUUCGUCGGCCAAACCUAUUCAAUCGUUGCUUCCAACACAGGUAGGUGAUGGCGAUUGCUAUGUAUCUUGUUAACUAGAGGGAACUCCAGAUUCAUUCUUGGAUAGAUCAGCAGAUAUCACAGGGGACACAAAUGGAAACUAUGAUGUCUAGUGAUCUGAUGCAUUCUAGAAUGCAUGUAAGUGGACCCUAGAAACAGUGUGAUAAUAAGGUGGAGGAAAAUGGUGGUCGAUGGUAUUUUUCUAGGAAAGAAAUAGAAGAAAACUCACCAUCAAGAUCAGAUGGAAUUGAUUUGAAGAAGGAGACUCAUCUUCGCAAAUCUUAUUGCACAUUUCUGCAGGACUUGGGUAUGAGGCUUCAAGUCAAUUCUGAAGAAAUCUGAUGAUUGUGAGUUUCUUGACUUCUUCUGACAACAAGUGCUUCAGUUUACUUCAUUUGUCAAGAGAUUGCUUCAAGCAAUGAUGGAUCCUAAUAGACCUAUUGAUUAUCUUAGCAGAUUGCUUUAGUUGCAUUGUUUCUUGGUGCUCUUUAUACACUUAGUCCUUUUGACUUCCUCCCAAGAUGUAAGAUAUCUAUUCAAUGUUGUUUAAUAUAAAGGUGUGCAAUUUUACCUUUAUUAACGUUUAAGUUUCUUCUUAUUAUUUAUUAUUUUUAAUAAUUACAAUUGGUUUAUUCUAGAUUGAAGCCCGUGAUCAUCAGCUGUACAAUGAUCUUGAUUACAUUCAUUUCUGCUAUUUUUUCUACUGGUCGUGCUGUUUUUGCUAUUGCAGAUUGUUGUUGUUGUUUUGUGAUAUUGCUGUUGUUGCUAUUUUGCUAUUUUGUGCUAUUUUGCUAUUGCUGUUUUGUUGUUUUAAUAAUGUAAAUUGAAUAUGGUAUUUGACAAAAAAUUGGAAAAUUUUAAUUUUUUUUAAAUAGACGAAGUUAGCUACGGAAUAGCUACAGAUUUCCGUAGCUAUUUAGGUCUGUAGCUAUUCCGUAGCUAUUUGGAUCCGUAGCUAUUCCGUAGCUAUUUAGGUCCGUAGCUAUUCCGUAGCUAUUUAGCUCCGUAGUGAUUCCGUAGAAAUACCGUAGCUAUUUUUUUUCCAUAGCUAUUCCGUAGCUAUGGUAGCUACGGAAUUUUCCGUAGCUAAUCUGUAGCUAUAAUUUAGCCACGGGCCAUUAUGCUACAGCCAUGUUUCCGUAGCAAUUGCGUAGCUAUCCGCUUAUAGCUACAGAAUAGCUAUGGAUUAUGCUGUAGCUAUUUAUCCAGUUUUCUAGUAGUGAUUAAUUCCAAUAAAACAAUAGAAACAAGAAGUGCGUGAAAAACACAGCAUAUGGGUAGGUAUAUUAUUAUUAUCUUAUUGUUUAAAUUUAGUUGUUUGUUUUAAUUAUCGUAUGUUUAUUGUUUUCUUUAUUUUAUGAGAAAAUUCAAGACGAAUACGAGAAAAUGCAAAGUGAGGUCGGGGAAGUCCGAGAAGUAGAUGAUGAAGAAUGGCUUGCACAUGCCAUCAGGACGAGACGUGGGCAUGCUCGUGGAGUGGGUACGAGAUCAACCGCCAACUUCGGUCUAAUUCCAAAUGAAUGGGCUAAGGCUUCCACUUCCACAUCAUCCCAAUCUCAACCCAAAUCUCAAUCCCAAUUUGAUGCAUAACAUAUGCAAGAACACUUGCAAUAAUAUAAUGUAUCAUUGGCGACAUGUAUUUCUAACUUCCAACCGCCACCAUUUCCUAUUGUUCUAUUCAACUCCAACACAAGGAAGUACCUCUCAACAAAAUGUCGAGCUCAAGAGGAUGGAAGAAGACAGAGAAGCAGAUGAUGAUGAUGAUGAUGAUGAUGGUUAAUGUUUUGUGUUAUAUUGAAAAAGGUUAACUACUUAUUUUAAUAUGAAAGUUGACUUUGAUGUUUUGAAUUUAAACAAUGGUAGCUAGUUAUUGUAUCUUAAUUGAUAUAUGCCGCAAAGUGUUUGGAUUUGUUAAAAA
This is a non-coding RNA of Lactuca sativa (garden lettuce), 2487 nucleotides long. Lineage: Eukaryota; Viridiplantae; Streptophyta; Magnoliopsida; Asterales; Asteraceae. The record is from RefSeq and is a predicted model, not a curated record.